AUGAGAGGAAUGGGAAGUGUGAGUAGGAGAAGAAAUUAUACCGGGAUCGGAAACCAUGUGCGAGAUGGCUCCCGAGUCCAUGAUCCAGUGACGGGCGUUGGAGGAGGCAUCGUUCAGAGCCGCUAUGAGGGAGGAGCGGUCCCAGGUUGGUGUCCCGUACGGAGUAGCAAGUGGUGGCAGGUUGGAGCCGAAGGCUUGUCCAUGCAGAGGGGCCAGCUGCGUGGUGUAGGCCUGCUGGCCAGGAGGAACCCAGGUGGCCUCGCGCGGCUGCAGUCCAGUGGGUUGCGGCCCAAGGAGGCCUGGUCCGCCAGGAGGGAGGCUCGGUCCUCUAGUCGGCCUCCAGGUGGGAUGCAUCUACUGAGUAUGGCCCGUGUAGGGGUUGAAGCAUAUCCACGGGCCAAGCGACACUGGGAAGUUGACGAAGGAGCCUUGGUUGCUGCUGCGAUCGCUGCCAUUGCCGCGGUAGGAGCCAUCGUCGUUCUUAUCUCUAUUUCUAUAAAAAUCACAGUUGGUGGUGAUGGUGUGCCGGCCAUCCAUCGAUCUUGGCCGUUUGAUCUGCAUCCGACGCAUGAGAGCAACCCCACUUCACAUUUGCAAAGAAACCCCUCAUUCUCUUCAUCCAUCUCCAUCCAGUCCCACCUUAUCCAAUCAGCCCAGCAAACGAUCCUUCUGGAAAAAAGUGGAACCGAAGUGGCAGCGGCCACGCACUCUGCACGCCGCCGGCGCCGGCGGCUCCCAACUCCUCGCUGUCGCAAAGCCUCACCGCCAACCUCCACUUCCACCUCCCCUCCUUCCCGUCGUCUCCUACGACGCUGCUGGCACCGUACGUGUGCCGAGUCUGCAAGGCCUCUCCUACCUACUCCACCAAUGCAGCAGAUCCGCCACCCAGCACCUCUCCCUCCUCACCGCUGUCUCAUCCCCCUACCCCUAUAG
RNAcentral lists this ribosomal RNA (933 nucleotides) under Triticum aestivum (bread wheat). RNAcentral's name for it is "partial small subunit ribosomal RNA". The record is from RNAcentral. Lineage: Eukaryota; Viridiplantae; Streptophyta; Magnoliopsida; Poales; Poaceae.